This 864-nucleotide ribosomal RNA is filed under the name uncultured bacterium. RNAcentral's name for it is "bacterial SSU rRNA". It matches the Rfam family "Bacterial small subunit ribosomal RNA", at positions 8 to 938 of the family's 1533-position model. The record is from RNAcentral.
AGAGUUUGAUCCUGGCUCAGAACGAACGCUGGCGGCAGGCUUAACACAUGCAAGUCGAGCGCCCCGCAAGGGGAGCGGCAGACGGGUGAGUAACGCGUGGGAAUCUACCCAUCUCUACGGAAUAACGCAUGGAAACGUGUGCUAAUACCGUAUACGUCCUUCGGGAGAAAGAUUUAUCGGAGAUGGAUGAGCCCGCGUUGGAUUAGCUAGUUGGUGGGGUAAAGGCCUACCAAGGCGACGAUCCAUAGCUGGUCUGAGAGGAUGAUCAGCCACACUGGGACUGAGACACGGCCCAGACUCCUACGUGAGGCAGCAGUGGGGAAUAUUGGACAAUGGGCGCAAGCCUGAUCCAGCCAUGCCGCGUGAGUGAUGAAGGCCCUAGGGUUGUAAAGCUCUUUCACCGGUGAAGAUAAUGACGGUAACCGGAGAAGAAGCCCCGGCUAACUUCGUGCCAGCAGCCGCGGUAAUACGAAGGGGGCUAGCGUUGUUCGGAUUUACUGGGCGUAAAGCGCACGUAGGCGGACUAUUAAGUCAGGGGUGAAAUCCCGGGGCUCAACCCCGGAACUGCCUUUGAUACUGGUAGUCUUGAGUUCGAGAGAGGUGAGUGGAAUUCCGAGUGUAGAGGUGAAAUUCGUAGAUAUUCGGGGGAACACCAGUGGCGAAAGCGGCUCACUGGCUCGAUACUGACGCUGAGUGCGAAAGCGUGGGGAGCAAACAGAUUAGAUACCCUGGUAGUCCACGCCGUAAACUAUGAAGCUAGCGUNGNCAGUAUACUGUCGNGNGCAGCAAACGCAUUAGCUCUCCGCCUGGGAGUACGNCGCAGAUUAAAACUCAAAAGANNANNNNNNNGCACAGCGGUGAGCA